GCAUCAAGAUGGCGACUUGUCAGCGGAAAUGAAUAUUUGUCACAUGAUUGUCACAGGUUGUGAUAGUAAUCGCGCAGAGUUGGCGAACUAGGAUUUCUCCACGAUCAUCCUGCACACGGUGGAGUUACGGCAGGGUCUAGGACUGCAGAUCAGAUCAGUGAGGUUCGGCUACGGAUAGUAUGAAAACUACUACGAUGUUUGUGCUGCUGUUGGCGGUGUUUUCUUCUUUUCAACUGAUUACAGCAGGUGAAAGCAAGAAUGCUAGCCAGCCUCAUAUCAUAUUUAUCCUUGCCGAUGAUUUGGGCUGGGAUGACGUGAGUUUUCAUGG
Long non-coding RNA from Orbicella faveolata, 328 nucleotides. The record is from RefSeq and is a predicted model, not a curated record. NCBI's taxonomy places the organism in Eukaryota, Metazoa, Cnidaria, Anthozoa, Scleractinia, Merulinidae.